Molecule: ribosomal RNA, 253 nt
Filed under: uncultured bacterium
Lineage: Bacteria
Description: partial 16S ribosomal RNA
Rfam family: Bacterial small subunit ribosomal RNA
Source: RNAcentral
UACGGAGGGUGCAAGCGUUAUCCGGAUUCACUGGGUUUAAAGGGUGCGUAGGCGGCUUUGUAAGUCAGUGGUGAAAUAUGGCAGCUCAACUGUCAGGGUGCCAUUGAUACUGCGGAGCUUGAGUACAGAUGAGGUAGGCGGAAUUGACGGUGUAGCGGUGAAAUGCUUAGAUAUCGUCAAGAACACCGAUAGCGAAGGCAGCUUACUGGGCUGUAACUGACGCUGAGGCACGAAAGUGUGGGGAUCAAACAGG